This 460-nucleotide ribosomal RNA is filed under the name uncultured bacterium. RNAcentral's name for it is "partial 16S ribosomal RNA". It matches the Rfam family "Bacterial small subunit ribosomal RNA", at positions 338 to 795 of the family's 1533-position model. The record is from RNAcentral.
CCUACGGGUGGCAGCAGUGAGGAAUAUUGGUCAAUGGGCGGAAGCCUGAACCAGCCAAGUCGCGUGAGGGAAUAAGGCCCUACGGGUUGUAAACCUCUUUUGUCAGGGAGCAACGCCGGCUACGUGUAGCCGGACUGAGAGUACCUGAAGAAAAAGCAUCGGCUAACUCCGUUCCAGCAGCCGCGGUAAUACGGAGGAUGCGAGCGUUAUCCGGAUUUAGUGGGUUUAAAGGGUGCGUAGGCGGAAUGCCAAGUCAGCGGUAAAAUCGCGUGGCUCAACCUCGCUCCGCCGUUGAAACUGGCGUUCUUGAGUGGGCGAGAAGUAUGCGGAAUGCGUGGUGUAGCGGUGAAAUGCAUAGAUAUCACGCAGAACUCCGAUUGCGAAGGCAGCAUACCGGCGCCCAACUGACGCUGAAGCACGAAAGCGUGGGUAUCGAACAGGAUUAGAUACCCUAGUAGUC